Bombyx mori (domestic silkworm) is the source of this 167-nucleotide non-coding RNA. The record is from Rfam. Lineage: Eukaryota; Metazoa; Arthropoda; Insecta; Lepidoptera; Bombycidae.
AUACUUACCUGGCAUAGGGGAUACCGUGAUCAUGCAGGCGGUUCCCCCCAGGGCGAAGCUGCUCCAUUGCACUGCGGAGUGGUUGACCCUUGCGAUUAUUUUUAUUUUUAUCAAUAAAAAAAUUAUAAUAGAAAAUGUAUGUAGACCCGAAUAAUUAUUUUCUUUUA